UCCGCUAGUAGUGGCGAGCGAACGCGGAAGAGGCCAAACCGGAGGUAGCAAUAUUUCCGGGGUUAGGACUGCAAUAUGUAGCUUUAAUCUUUAACUGAAUGCUUUGGGAAGAGCAGCGAUACAGGGUGAUAGCCCCGUAAGUGAAAAGGAUUGAGUGCUAGCAGUAUCCAGAGUACCAGCGGACACGUGAAACCCGCUGGGAAGAUGGGGGGACCAUCCUCCAAGCCUAAAUACUACUCAGUGACCGAUAGUGGAGCAGUACCGUGAGGGAAAGGUGAAAAGUACCCCGGGAGGGGAGUGAAAAAGAACCUGAAACCUUGUGCCUACAAGCACCGAGAGCACGUUAAAGUGUGAUCGGGUACUUUUUGUAGAACGGUCCGGCGAGUUAAUAUUUGCAGCGAGGUUAAGGAACUGGAGUUCCGGAGCCGCAGCGAGAGCGAGUCUGAAAAGGGCGUAUGAAGUUGCAGGUAUUAGACCCGAAACCGGGUGACCUAUCCAUGAGCAGGCUGAAGCGGUGGUAAGACACCGUGGAGGGCCGCACCCACGUCUGUUGAAAAAGCCGGGGAUGACUUGUGGAUAGCGGAGAAAUUCCAAUCGAACUCGGAGAUAGCUGGUUCUCCCCGAAAUAGCUUUAGGGCUAGCGUUAUUUUAGAUUACCGGAGGUAAAGCACUGAAUGGUCUAGGGGCCGCGAGGUUACCAAAGCCUAUCAAACUCUGAAUGCCGGAUAAUUGAUGAAUAGCAGUCAGACUGUGUGAGAUAAGUCUCAUAGUCAAAAGGGAAACAGCCCAGAUCUACAGCUAAGGUCCCAAAUGAACACUAAGUGGAAAAUGAUGUGAAACUGCGAAGACAACCAGGAUGUUGGCUUAGAAGCAGCCACUCAUUCAAAGAGUGCGUAAUAGCUCACUGGUCGAGUGGUUUUGCGCAGAAAAUGUAACGGGGCUAAGUGUUCAACCGAAGCUUAGGCAUUGCAGUAAUGCAUUGGGUAGGGGAGCGUCGUAUGCGGGGUGAAGUCAGAGCGGAAGCACUGGUGGACUGCAUACGAGUGAGAAUGCCGGAAUAAGUAGCGAGAAUUAUGUGAGAAUCAUAAUGGCCGAAAAUCUAAGGUUUCUUGGGGAAGGUUCGUCCGCCCAAGGUUAGUCGGGAGCUAAGCUCAGGCCGAAAGGCGUAGGCGAUGCACAUACGGUAGAAAUUCCGUAACCACCGAACAUUUAAGCUAGAGGGACGCUUUCUUUAAGGUUAUCCCGGGCGAUGGUUGCCCCGGGCGUAAGGGACCGAAAUAUAGUAGGGAAGUAACUGGCGAGAGAGACGAGAAAAGCUCUGGUGUAUACUAAGGUGCCCGUACCGCAAACCGACACAGGUAGAUGGGAUGAGUAUUCUAAGGCCAACGGGAGAAGGGUUGUUAAGGAACUCGGCAAAUUGGCCCCGUAACUUCGGGAUAAGGGGCGCCUGCGAGAGCAGGCCGCAGUGAAAAGGCCCAAGCGACUGUUUAGCAAAAACACAGCUCUCUGCUAAAUCGAAAGAUGACGUAUAGGGGGUGACGCCUGCCCGGUGCUGGAAGGUUAAGGGGAGUGCUUAGCGCAAGCGAAGGUGCGAACUUAAGCCCCAGUAAACGGCGGCCGUAACUAUAACGGUCCUAAGGUAGCGAAAUUCCUUGUCAGGUAAGUUCUGACCCGCAUGAAAGGCGUAAUGAUCUGGGCACUGUCUCAACAGCCCGCCCGGCGAAAUUGUAGUACCGGUGAAGAUGCCGGUUUCCCGCAACUAGACGGAAAGACCCCAUGGAGCUUCACUGUAGCUUGAUAUUGGGAUUCGGUAUUCCAUGUACAGGAUAGGUGGGAGGCUAGGAAGCGAGCGCGCCAGCGUUCGUGGAGCCAACCUUGGGAUACCACUCUUGGGAUAUUGGGAUUCUAACCUGCGACCAUGAAUCUGGUCGGGGGACACUGUCAGGUGGGCAGUUUGACUGGGGCGGUCGCCUCCAAAAGAGUAACGGAGGCGCUCAAAGGUUCGUUCAGCACGGAUGGAAAUCGUGCACUGAGUGUAAACGCAUAAACGAGCCUAACUGCGAGAAUGACGGUUCGAGCAGUAACGAAAGUUGGAGUUAGUGAUCCGGCGGUAUGU
This 2116-nucleotide ribosomal RNA is filed under the name human gut metagenome. RNAcentral describes it as "bacterial LSU rRNA". It matches the Rfam family "Bacterial large subunit ribosomal RNA", at positions 236 to 2431 of the family's 2925-position model. The record is from RNAcentral.